Molecule: transfer RNA, 50 nt
Filed under: Gordius sp. VVA-2019
Lineage: Eukaryota; Metazoa; Nematomorpha; Gordioida; Gordea; Gordiidae
Description: tRNA-Ala
Source: RNAcentral
GGGGGCUUUUGUCUACUUUGCACGUAGUCACGGGCUGAUGCCAGCCUCCA